This 253-nucleotide ribosomal RNA is filed under the name uncultured bacterium. RNAcentral's name for it is "partial 16S ribosomal RNA". It matches the Rfam family "Bacterial small subunit ribosomal RNA", at positions 524 to 776 of the family's 1533-position model. The record is from RNAcentral.
UACGGGGGGGGCAAGCGUUGUUCGGAAUUACUGGGCGUAAAGGGCUCGUAGGCGGCCAACUAAGUCGAACGUGAAAUCCCCGGGCUCAACCCGGGAACUGCGUCCGAUACUGGAAGGCUUGAAUCCGGGAGAGGGAUGCAGAAUUCCAGGUGUAGCGGUGAAAUGCGUAGAUAUCUGGAGGAACACCGGUGGCGAAGGCGGCAUCCUGGACCGGUAUUGACGCUGAGGCGCGAAAGCUAGGGGAGCAAAAGGG